CUGCACUUCUGCAGCAUAAAUGCUAAAACUGGAAUAAUAAAGAGGUUAGCAUGGUUCCUCAUAAGAAAGACAUGAAAAUUUUUCAAGUUUUCCAUAUUGUU
Molecule: small nuclear RNA, 101 nt
Filed under: Fukomys damarensis (Damara mole-rat)
Lineage: Eukaryota; Metazoa; Chordata; Mammalia; Rodentia; Bathyergidae
Source: RNAcentral